RNAcentral lists this unclassified non-coding RNA (975 nucleotides) under Hevea brasiliensis (rubber tree). Lineage: Eukaryota; Viridiplantae; Streptophyta; Magnoliopsida; Malpighiales; Euphorbiaceae. The record is from RNAcentral.
CUCCCUGCUGGCUUGAAACCUGGCUGGGGAAGAUCGAUUCCAGUAAUGCGAAGCUCUGGAGGUCCCCCAGCCCUCAUGGAUAGACCUUGUAUGAGACAGGGCCAUUGGAAACCAUACAAGAUACCAAAAUCAAUUAUGUGUAUCUUUGGUGCUCCAGCAAUGACCUUUCGGAUAUACUUGUUUGCGAAAAUGUUUGACAGCAACUUGAAUGGACAUGCUCUGAUAAAUGCCUUGUAAGCUUUCAAAAUGUUAGCAGCUGAUAUCCUACUGGGUGCGUAGGCUGUAUACAAAGCUGUUCCCGUGCCGGACAGGCGUGCUUCAAGGGCAUUGGCAAGAUAAUGAGCCAACCUCUCCGUCCCAUCGCCAUGAGGUGUAGAGUGUUCUCUUAUCCGCAUCAGCAGCUCAUUAGCUGUUCUGCUAUCAUAGUUUGCCAUGGCCUGCGCACACUGAGUCAACAAAGCCCUCAAAUCCACCAUUUCCUUCUUGACAAUGCUGCUAUGCUUCCUACCACCUCUCGGCCUUCCAACUUUGCUUGUUUUUUUGGCUUCAUUAGGCGGCGAGUAGGAAGUGAUACUAGUAGCACUAUGCUGUUCCACAUAUGGAUUGUUUAAACAAAGCAACACAUUGUCAUACAUUUCCAAUGGUUCAGAUUCAUCAUGAACAAAUGUAGCCAUCUGUUUGUUACUCCUCUGCUGGUCUGCAGCAACAUCUCCUCGAUGUCGAUUUUUCUUUUCCCUCAGACCAGUUGGUGAAUUGCUGCUGCUGCCACUUUGUAACACAUUGACAGCUCCUUCUUCAAAAUGGCCAUUGCCGAAGGAAGUGAAGAAAGAGUCAUGAUUAGAUAAAGUGGACAUGGAAGCAGGGGAUUCGAAAUUAAGAUCCCAUUGAGGUGACUCAAUAGAAUCAGGUGAAUAGUUGCUGAGAAAACUAGAGGAAUCGUGUGGAUUGAUAAUGACAGAUUGUGGGGAAUAGUUG